Molecule: long non-coding RNA, 1949 nt
Organism: Betta splendens (Siamese fighting fish)
Lineage: Eukaryota; Metazoa; Chordata; Actinopteri; Anabantiformes; Osphronemidae
Exons: 2
Source: RefSeq, a predicted model, not a curated record
ACACACACACACACACACACACACGCACAUACAAAGCUGGGGGAGGUGGAGGCAGCAGAGCUCGCUUCACCGGCUGUCCAUUGAUCAGUGGAGAGGUUGGUAGACUUAAAAGAUCAGUGUGGAGACUGGUGGAGAGCAGAGAGAGGGUUGGAGAGGAGGAUACUGGGGGUUCUGUAGGAUAUGGCAAACACAGGCAGCCAGGGAUAAGAAGAGGGGAGGUUAGAGAGAGAGAGGGAGAGCUAGAGAGAGAGAGAAAGUGUGUGAUGAGAUAGAGAUUAGAGCAAUGGAGAGAUAAGGAGGCAAAUCACAGCUGCUGGGUUUUACAGUCUGGAUGAAGCCUGCUGGACUGACGAGAUGUCGAAGCAGCAGAUCGGCGCCCUGGCGAAGGGGGUGGAAAACUUCUCGAGCGUCCAUCUGCUGCAGUCAAAAUGGACGCCGCAACAGCCCGCCUGAGGCGGCCAUCUUGGUUUCAGCCUACGAGCGGAGGAACGCUUCGGUGCCGGAAGGCAGAGAAGGAGCCCAAGAGGAAAAUGGCAGUUUUAGCUUGUUUGCACAAAUGCACUUGAACCAGUAAAUGUUCUUUUUAGUUUGCCAACUUUCUUUGUUUGAUUGUUUUGGUGUCAUUUCUGUACAUUUUCCCCUGAGAAGCUAAGGGUAGCAUAAACAAUGACGCUGAAAUAAUUAAGCAAAUCUAAAGCCAUGCUACUAACAAGUCAAAAAUAUUUUACUAAUUAUAAAUGUAUAUACACACACACACACACACACACACACACACACACACACACACACACACACACACAGGAGAUGUACUCAGUAAUGAGAUUAUUUUAAAGGCCUACACACCAUAGUCCUGUGAACCAUAAGUGUCUGCAAACAAGAUUUAAUUGCCAUGGUGUUUUGAAAAAUAAAAACUAAACUAAGCUAAAUGAACUUAAGAAAACAAAUUCAACAUGGGCAGACAAAGAUUCAUAAUUAUUUAUUUGACAUUUACUAGGAGACUUUACAGAGUUCUCUAUAUAUUAAGUUAAGUAAAAGUUGGCAGAGCAUUUAUGAGGGAAGGUGCGUAUGGGGAAACAGCUUCUGUCUGAAGGUAGAAACUCUUUACUUUUCCUUUACAUUUAAAAGGGCAAUGUUAGUGUUUUAAUGACAUAGUGAAAUGUUGUGGACUGUGAUAACCUUCCUGUCCAAAGUUUGUUUGAUUGUUUAUGAACUAUAAUAUAUCAACAGUGCAAAUUGCAACACAGCUAAAAUUACAUGGAUCCUGCAAAUUUGCCCUAUUCUGUCAGUGUGAUGUUUAGUGCCUCCUCCUCAUUUCCUCUGCUGGAAGAGAUGUGCGCGUCGGGCGGCCAUUUUGGCUCCAAACUGGAGCAGUAGAACCACAGGGCACCCAGUGGUUGCUCAGUAGUCAGUGUAGAUCCUGUGGGGCUGGCAGCAGCUACAUCUGGCUACUGGGUCUCCGCUGGCAGCCGUGUUGCACAGGACAGAUGACGACGAUGAUGAAAUACAGGAUUAUUGCACGAUUUAAUUUUGUUAAAUGUGUGUUCUCAAACAAAAAGGUUUGGAUUUUUUUGGCAUGAAAUUAGUUACUGCCAGUGCUUUCAGUAGUUUGUUUCUUUGUGAUCUUCACAAUGCAUUUUUAAAGCAACGAACCCUUUAUGAAAGACAAGCUGAACUCAUGUUUUGAGAUACAGAGUAAGUCCUGGACCUGGCAUACAGUGUAGGAUUCUGUGUGUCAGUCUACAGCUACAUUGUCUGCUGGGUUUCAGGUCUGUACUCGCACACGAUUUGGAAUGUGGAGUGUGCAUUGUUCCUAUUUCUGUAACUUGUCAAACAAAUGAAUGAGAAAUCUGUAAUGUCCGAGGAAUGAAAACACGUGGCUACUUUGACAACUUUGUGUUUAUUGACUCAUCAUAAAACAUUCUUCAAACAAUAAAACAAUUUUAAAUGUU